Molecule: ribosomal RNA, 253 nt
Filed under: uncultured bacterium
Lineage: Bacteria
Description: partial 16S ribosomal RNA
Rfam family: Bacterial small subunit ribosomal RNA
Source: RNAcentral
UACGUAGGGGGCAAGCGUUGUCCGGAAUUAUUGGGCGUAAAGAGCGCGUAGGCGGUCCGGUAAGUCGGUUGUGAAAGUCGGGGGCUCAACCCUCGGAUGCCGAUCGAUACUGUCGGGCUAGAGUCCGGAAGAGGCGAGUGGAAUUCCUGGUGUAGCGGUGAAAUGCGCAGAUAUCAGGAGGAACACCGGUGGCGAAGGCGGGUCUCUGGGCCGAUACUGACGCUGAGGUGCGAAAGCGUGGGGAGCAAACAGG